Long non-coding RNA from Chinchilla lanigera (long-tailed chinchilla), 2719 nucleotides. RefSeq lists it as uncharacterized. Lineage: Eukaryota; Metazoa; Chordata; Mammalia; Rodentia; Chinchillidae. The record is from RefSeq and is a predicted model, not a curated record. The transcript has 5 exons.
AGGACAAGGUCGAAGAGCAGCGGUUGAAAUGAAACAUUAAGAAUGUACAGUUUUCUUCGGGACCCCGACCCCAGAACUGCCCUGCUAAGUAGUUCCCGCCUCCUUCCCAGCUCUCGGUUUCCUCUUAAUCACGUGACUGACGAGCCGCAGGACGGACACUGUUUAGCCAGCUCCUAGGCAACGGCGUGACGUGCCUGGAGCUUGCUCUGGCGAUUAGCUAACUCUUACAUUCUCUCUUCCUCUGUUCUGUUUGUGUGACCUUAUCUCUCACGGAUGAAAACAUUACAAAGUCUAUUCAACGUAAAGCAGGAGAACGACAGCAGAGGCUUCCGGAAGCAGUGGUGAUGCAAGUGUUUCCUGCUUUGCUCCUGGGCCGCCAUGAUCUGAGCAGCUCUGCCCUUCCGUGUCUUCCCCCCAUGAUGGAGUCAGCCAAACACAGACUGAAAAUGGGAGCCACUUAAAACCUGCUUACAGCACUGCAUAAUUAUGGAAAACCUGGCAGCAUAUCCACCUGUAGUUGGAGCCACGCCACAUCGCACCAAAGUGAGCCCUGUGAAUGAUCGUUCUGAAGGUCCUGUCUAAUUCUACCACUGGAGUCAAAAAGCCUCCAGUGUCUCCCCAUUAUCCUGCUAGGAGACCAGGUUCACAUUCCUCAGCGUGGCAGGGAACGGUGCCAAGAUCUGACCCUGACGGAACCCCAACUUCCAAAAUUUCACUCUUUUUCUACCGAAUUCAAGUGACAGGGUCACUGGUGUAAACACAGCUGCCAAGACUGCAGGCCGGCAUGCACUGGGUGUAGAGAGCCGAUCAUGAGCCGGUGAUCGCCUGGCCUUUGCGUUCCGCCCGCCAGCUGAGAAUGCCUCGCCUCAGAGAGAGGACAUCGUACUCAGAGAGGCUCUAGCCCAGUGCACUGGCAUCUCAGCAGACACUUUCACUCCUCCUGCCUCAGGAGAGUGUGAGGCACUUUUUCAGGCUACUGUCCAUUUUUGUCACCAUCUGUGUGAAUUUCCUGUGGCUGACUGUAAUAUCCCCACAAACAUGUCUUAAAACAACAGACAUUCAUUUCAGAUCUGGCAGCCCGAAGUCCAAAACCGAAGUGUUGGCAGAGCUGCUUCCUCCUGGGAGCUCGGAGGGAAAGCCUGUUCGAUGCCUCACUCUUAGCCUGUGGAGGCUGUUGGUAGCAGCCACUGCACUCUUGGACUUCUGUCUGUAACUCCAAGCCCGGCCUCUGACUCCACAGGAGCUUUUCCUUUGCAGCUCUCCCCUGCUCUUCCCUUCUCACAGCGUUUGUUACUGAAUUUGGGAUCCACCUAAUCCAGGAUGACCUCCUCUGAAGACUCAUUAUUAAACAGAGAGACCCUCUCCCCAAGUGAGGUCAUAUUCAGAGGCGCCAGGCAGAAUCCCUUUCCAGCACCAUUAUUCAGUCCACUGUGCCAAGGACGUUUUAUGGGGUGCUCUCUCCUCUGCAGGUUCUUGGGACGUUCUCCCCGUUCCGUGGGUGUGACUUUUCAAAGACUUCGGGGAUAAAGAAGUACCUUCUCCUUGCUCUGAGUUUCUCUUUUAUGCUUCUGUUAAAUUUAAACUUUCCACUUGACAUCAUUUAUGUAUGUUUCCAUCUGCCAUUUCAGCCCAGCAACCCUCUUCAAAACAUGAAAAUAAUGACAUACAUACCUGCGAUGUUUCUCCUGUUUGGGAAUUAAGAAUAAAUGUCACAAACAUGAGCUAGGAAUUAUAAUAACAAGAAUGAAAAUGGGAAAGAGGAGUUCGAAGCAGAGGGACCGAGGUGGUCAGGGCAAGGGGACAAAAAAAAAGAAACAAGCUGUAUCAUGUACACGUACCCACUCCCCACGAUCGAUGUAAAGAUCACGUACUGCCAACGUGUACUAAUAAAAGGAAACAGCAAAGAUAGAGCAUGAGGAAGCCAAACACAGAAAAAAAGAAUAAAGUUUCUAUGAACAUAAGUGAGCAAGUUUGAGUGUGUAAGUUUUCCAAUCAUUUGAGUAAAAACUUAAGAGCACAGUUACUAUAUUAAAUAAUUGACUAUAUUUAGCUUUGCAAAGAACUGUCAAACUUUUAGAAAAUGACGGCACCAUUUCGCAUUCCCACCAGCAAUGAUUAUUUCUGUUGCUCUACUUUCUUGCUAGAAUCUAGGAUUGUCAUGUUUUAGAUUUUAGACAUUCUCAUAGUUGUGUUAGCUCACUGUUGUAAUUUACAGUUUCCUAGUGAAGUGAGAUUGUUUUCUCAUUCGCUUAUUUGUUAUUUAUAUAUCUUUUUGGGGAAGAAAUUUAUUCAGAUCUUUUGACCAUUUUCAUUGAAUUAUUUUAUUAUAAUUGUUUUAGUAUAACAGAUCCUUGGAUAUUUUCAAUACAGAUUCUUUGUCACAUAUAUGUUUUACAAAUUCUUUCUCCAAUUCUCUAUCCUUUUUUUUUCAUUCUACUUCCAGUGAUUCAGAGCAGCAUGUUACUAAUGAAGACCAAUUAAUUUUUUCUUAAAUAGAUUUUGCUAUUUGGUUUGUAUCUAAAAAAUCAUUUGCAAGUCCAAUGUCACUUUGACUUUUUUCUACAUUAUGUUCUGUAGAGUCUACAGUUUUGGGUUUUGUAUUUAGAUCUAUAAUCCAUCUUGGUCAACUUUUGUGAGAACUACACCUACUUUGCUUUGUAUGUGUAUGUUAAGUUCUCUCACCAUGACUUAUUUAAAACACUAUCAUUCCUCCACUGAA